CAGAGUAAGGGGAUACGCGUAAAGUGCCUGACGUACGGGGAGUUGACGGCAGGACGAAGGAUAUCCGCGGUGUAUCCCUUGCAUCCCGCUGC
This 92-nucleotide non-coding RNA is filed under the name uncultured Ruminococcus sp. RNAcentral describes it as "THF riboswitch". It matches the Rfam family "THF (Tetrahydrofolate) riboswitch aptamer". From Rfam's summary of the family: THF riboswitch presents a pseudoknot that joins P1-P2 and the loop of P3 and two THF binding. Lineage: Bacteria; Bacillati; Bacillota; Clostridia; Eubacteriales; Oscillospiraceae. The record is from RNAcentral.